UUUCAUCAUUUGGAGUGAUAUUCUCUUAUGACUGCCUAAUGUCCAUGGAAACUAUAAAGUGAAAUUGGCGGUUCUUCAAGUUUGGCAGGCUGCCAUUUAUGAAAUGUGGUGUGAGAGUAACCAGAUAUUAGAUGAUGGCUUAUCCUUACCUCCUUCCGUGUUGUAAGAUACAUUAUUUCAUCUCUCAUAGAUAAAUGUUCAGUUAUGUCUUAUGACAAUCCGUUCCGUGGAUCCAUGCUCAUAGCCCUGCACUGUGAGCCUUGGUUCGCGGGACGGGUUGUCACAAAAAAGUCGGGUAAAUUGGUGACAACUUGUCAUGUGAGAAUAUUGUUAAAAUGUGAGGUUUUGGGUUCAAGGAACGCGAAGGGCACCAAUAACCUACAUGGAAGACUCAGUGAGGGUUCACAUGUGAAGGGUUAGGGUCGGUGUCCUGCAAGGCUGUGAGCCUGGGUCCGUGGGACGGGUUGUCACAUGUCUAUUGCAGGGUCUAUUUUUAGCUAACUUUUGGUUUGACCCGCUCUAGCUGCUCUUAUUUACCUUAGCUAUGUUUUUGAGACCUAGCAGUUUUUUUUUAUUUUUUAUUUGUUUUUUUACUUUUAGGUUUUAACAUAUUUUAGUCAGAUAGACGUGAAUGUAUCAGUUAGGGUAUGACUGGUUUUCCCGCUACCACCCGCAAACGCAGCUUUUGCGGUUCGUAGCGGUUGCUGGCGUUUUGCAACAAUCGCUCAAACCGCUCUAAACCGCUCCAAAUCGCUCUGAACCUCAUAAAUUCAAAAGCUGGUUCCAGCUAGCGUUUGCGGUUGCAGGCGUUUGAGGGAGGAUAAAAAAUUUUUUUUUUUUUUCCAAAACAAUAUAAAUACAAAAAUAAAAAAAAUCAAUAAAAAAAUUAAACUGAAAUUAUAAAAAUGCUAAAAUAUAUCAAUUAAAUUUUAAUUAAUAUUAUAAAACUUUAAAAUAAAAAUAUUUUCUAUAUUUUUAAAAAAUUUAAACUAUAACUUUCUAAAUAUAAAUUUUAUAUUUAUUAUAAUAUUAUUAUUUUUGAUAUUUUUAUAAUUGUAUAAAAUGUAAAUAUUGUUAAUUUAUUAUUUAACUGCUGCUGCAUUUGGUAGUUAACGAGCUGUCAUAAGUAUCCCGCAAACGCACAAAUUUCUAACCGCAUAACCAGUCGUACAAAUCUCUUAAAACCGCUAGAAACCGCAACCACCCGCAUCCGCAAACUCCCGCAACCGCAACCGCUGCGGUUAAACCAGUCAGGCCCUUAAUAGGAUACUCAGUUUAAAUAUCUAGUUAAGUAGCAGUUUGUCAAAAUCUAUGUACAAUUUGUAGUUGUGUAUGUAAUAUUAAUAAAUUUUGUUAGAGAUACUUGUAAAUCAUCAUGUUUUUAUUAAAAAUAAUAUAAAAAUUUCAUAAAAAUAUCUCAGCUAAAUUUCGUUAAUCACUUUAAUAUCUCUAUUACCCAAUCUAAUAUUUUAACUAAUUAUAUCUUUCAUUUUAAC
Molecule: long non-coding RNA, 1496 nt
Filed under: Brassica rapa (field mustard)
Lineage: Eukaryota; Viridiplantae; Streptophyta; Magnoliopsida; Brassicales; Brassicaceae
Description: long non-coding RNA (BRAP_LNC003009)
Source: RNAcentral